This 108-nucleotide ribosomal RNA is filed under the name uncultured bacterium. RNAcentral describes it as "partial 16S ribosomal RNA". It matches the Rfam family "Bacterial small subunit ribosomal RNA", at positions 400 to 508 of the family's 1533-position model. The record is from RNAcentral.
CGUGUGGGAGGACGCCUUUCGGGGUGUAAACCACUGUUGCCCGGGACGAACAGGUCUAUUCGUAGACCCUGACGGUACCGGGUGAGGAAGCACCGGCUAACUCCGUGC